This 1169-nucleotide ribosomal RNA is filed under the name uncultured Bacteroides sp. Its description in RNAcentral is "bacterial SSU rRNA". It matches the Rfam family "Bacterial small subunit ribosomal RNA", at positions 10 to 1177 of the family's 1533-position model. Lineage: Bacteria; Pseudomonadati; Bacteroidota; Bacteroidia; Bacteroidales; Bacteroidaceae. The record is from RNAcentral.
AGUUUGAUCCUGGCUCAGGAUGAACGCUAGCUACAGGCUUAACACAUGCAAGUCGAGGGGCAGCAUUGGAGUAGCAAUACUUCAGAUGGCGACCGGCGCACGGGUGAGUAACACGUAUCCAACCUGCCGCUUACUCGGGGAUAGCCUUUCGAAAGAAAGAUUAAUACCCGAUGGUAUAAAGAGUUCGCAUGUUCUCUUUAUUAAAGAAUUUCGGUAAGCGAUGGGGAUGCGUUCCAUUAGAUAGUUGGCGGGGUAACGGCCCACCAAGUCUACGAUGGAUAGGGGUUCUGAGAGGAAGGUCCCCCACAUUGGAACUGAGACACGGUCCAAACUCCUACGGGAGGCAGCAGUGAGGAAUAUUGGUCAAUGGACGCGAGUCUGAACCAGCCAAGUAGCGUGAAGGAUGACUGCCCUAUGGGUUGUAAACUUCUUUUAUAAGGGAAUAAAGUGAGGGACGUGUCCCUUUUUGUAUGUACCUUAUGAAUAAGGAUCGGCUAACUCCGUGCCAGCAGCCGCGGUAAUACGGAGGAUCCGAGCGUUGUCCGGAUUUAUUGGGUUUAAAGGGAGCGUAGGUUGACAUAUAAGUCAGCUGUGAAAGUUUACGGCUCAACCGUGAAAUUGCAGUUGAUACUGUAUGUCUUGAGUGUACAAGAGGUGGGCGGAAUUCGUGGUGUAGCGGUGAAAUGCUUAGAUAUCACGAAGAACUCCAAUUGCGAAGGCAGCUCACUGGGGUACAACUGACACUGAGGCUCGAAAGUGUGGGUAUCAAACAGGAUUAGAUACCCUGGUAGUCCACACAGUAAACGAUGAAUACUCGCUGUUUGCGAUAUACAGUAAGCGGCCAAGCGAAAGCAUUAAGUAUUCCACCUGGGGAGUACGCCGGCAACGGUGAAACUCAAAGGAAUUGACGGGGGCCCGCACAAGCGGAGGAACAUGUGGUUUAAUUCGAUGAUACGCGAGGAACCUUACCCGGGCUUGAAUUGCAGAGGAACAUAGUUGAAAGAUUAUGGCCGCAAGGUCUCUGUGAAGGUGCUGCAUGGUUGUCGUCAGCUCGUGCCGUGAGGUGUCGGCUUAAGUGCCAUAACGAGCGCAACCCUUAUCAUUAGUUACUAACAGGUCAUGCUGAGGACUCUAGUGAGACUGCCGUCGUAAGAUGUGAGGAAGGUGGA